GCUUAACACAUGCAAGUCGAGCGGUAACAUGACUAGUAGCAAUACUAGUUGAUGACGAGCGGCGGACGGGUGAGUAACACGUAGGAACUUGCCCAGUAGGGGGGGACAACCACGGGAAACUUUGGCUAAUACCGCAUAUUCUCGAGAGAGGAAAGCUGCCGCAAGGUGGCGCUGUUGGAGAGGCCUGCGGCCGAUUAGCUAGUUGGUAGGGUAAAAGCCUACCAAGGCGAGGAUCGGUAACUGGUCUUAGAGGACGACCAGUCACACUGGGACUGAGACACGGCCCAGACUCCUACCGGAGGCAGCAGUGGGGAAUCUUGGACAAUGGGGGCAACCCUGAUCCAGCGAUGCCGCGUGAGUGAAGAAGGCCUUCGGGUCGUAAAGCUCUUUAGGCUGGGAAGAAGGUUGGUAGUUUAAGAGAUAAUCAAUUUGACUGUACCAGCAGAAUAAGCACCGGCAAACUCUGUGCCAGCCGCCGCCGUAA
Molecule: ribosomal RNA, 484 nt
Filed under: uncultured bacterium
Lineage: Bacteria
Description: partial 16S ribosomal RNA
Rfam family: Bacterial small subunit ribosomal RNA
Source: RNAcentral